CCCUUAGAUGUUCUGGGCCGCACGCGCGCUACACUGACGGAGUCAACGAGUUGUCCUGCAUCGGAAGGUGUGGGUAAUCUUUUGAAACUUCGUCGUGCUGGGGAUAGAUCUUUGCAAUUUUCGAUCUUGAACGAGGAAUUCCUAGUAAGCGUGAUUCAUCAGAUCGCGUUGAUUACGUCCCUGCCCUUUGUACACACCGCCCGUCGCUACUACCGAUUGAAUGGUUUAGUGAGGCCUCGGGACUGGCGCGCUCGAGUAGCAAUACACCUGCGCGCCGGGAACUUGGUCAAACUUGAUCAUUUAGAGGAAGUAAAAGUCGUAACA
This 324-nucleotide ribosomal RNA is filed under the name uncultured eukaryote. RNAcentral describes it as "partial 18S ribosomal RNA". It matches the Rfam family "Eukaryotic small subunit ribosomal RNA", at positions 1470 to 1796 of the family's 1831-position model. The record is from RNAcentral.